This 22-nucleotide microRNA is filed under the name Homo sapiens (human). Its description in RNAcentral is "hsa-miR-451b". Its record names the gene hsa-miR-451b. Lineage: Eukaryota; Metazoa; Chordata; Mammalia; Primates; Hominidae. The record is from miRBase by way of RNAcentral.
UAGCAAGAGAACCAUUACCAUU